This is a non-coding RNA of Doryrhamphus excisus (bluestripe pipefish), 2840 nucleotides long. The record is from RefSeq and is a predicted model, not a curated record. NCBI's taxonomy places the organism in Eukaryota, Metazoa, Chordata, Actinopteri, Syngnathiformes, Syngnathidae.
CUCAGCAGGGUGGCUGGAAAUUGCACUGAUUAGCAUUUGGCAUUGAAGUAAACGUCUCAGGCCUUUGACAAAGAAAAUGCUUUCUUUGUCAAAGCUGCACAACAUAACAACGCUGUUUCAGACGUACGGUAACUGGAGUACAAUAGUGGGCCUUGGGACAGAAAAUUCACAGAAGAAAAUGAUGAUUUCAUUCAUGAACAUAAUGCUGCGUUCGACCAAUUUGGUAAGAUGGGAAAUCAGAUCAGUAAUUUUUAAACACUGCUGGUGCCCACACAGAUGUACUAAAAAAUAAUUACAAUAACUAUUUGUUUUUCACACCAUGUUAGGGGUGUCAGUGUCCACUCUUGGAGAGCAAAUCCUCUAAGAUUUCUCAACGUCAACCUCAACAAACACACAGCAACAUCGACAGAAGGAGUCGAAAAGCAAAAACACAUAAACACCCUAAAAUAAUUAACUGUAAAUUACAUAAGUUAGCCGUUUCUACCAGGAUGUUAGCCAGAUCUAUGAGGAAGUUACCAAACUACCAGGAAGUUGGCCAUUUUUACCAGAAAGUUUGCCAUUUCUCUCAGGAAGUUAGCCAAUCUAUCAGGAUGUUAGCAAGGUUACCAGGAGUUAGUUAUCCCAAUACGUUAGCUAGACCACAGGGAGUUAGCUAUGCUAGCUGGAAGUUAGUCAACCGAGCAAGAGAUUAGCCAGGCUACCAGGAAGCCUAACAGGAAGUGAGCCCAGCUACCAGGAGGUUAGCUAGCCUAGCAGGAAAUUAGCAAGUCUAACAGGGAGAGCCCAGCUACCAGGAGGUCAGCUAGCCUAACAGGAAAUUAGCAAGCCUAACAGGACGUGAGCCCAGCUACCAGUAGGUUAGCUAACCUAGCAAGAAAUUAGCCAGUCUUCCAGUAUAGCUAGACCUAAUGGCCAUGCAUCUUUAAAAACAUGAGCGGGAUGGAAGUUGGUGGAAUGAAUAGACAGAUUUCAAGGUCAAUAAAUCAGUUUAUGUGAUAGCAACAUUUUUAAUUUGAAGUCUUUUCCCCGCUGGAUGUGUUUUUGCUUUUGGAUCAUUUCUGUGUUUGGAGCAUUUGUACGUUGCUGCGUGUUUGUGACUGAACGUAGCGGGCCGGCAAGUUUUGUUUUUUAUGCUUUAAGGACAUAGAAUCAUAUGAUCCAAGGGAGCGACUCUGCCUUUGUCAAACAUCGAUUGAGAAGUAGGCCAGGAGCCGGGGGGGGCCGCCAGCUCGGAUGUUCCCACAGACGAGAGAGGAGGCCAGCGCUGAGGAACAGAGAUUGCACAACUGUCAUGUUGGAGGGACUUGAGACGGCUUAAGGUUAGAAACACUCUAGAGUUCAAGAAAUAACUCAUGGCAAAACAGGAAGGUGGAGUCCGUGUGGUGUCUUGCUGCAACGUCUUACUAAAGUCAAGAAUCACAUCUUCAGCGAAGUCCUGCUAUGAAGUCCAGCAUCCUGAAGUCGCCGCUUUACUGUUGAUACUGACACUGGUGUUGUACGGCUACUAUUUAGUGACGACCUGUGAGGUGUCUUUGUCUUAAACUACACACUCUCAGAUAUUUGUCUUCUUGCACAGCUGUGCAUCGUUUUUCUGUCCUUGUUAGACCCAGUUUGUGCUGCUCUCUGAAGGGAGUAGUUAACAGCAUGGUAAGAGAUUUUAGUUUUAGUUGAGAUUUUUAGAUGGGUUUUCUAAUAAUCUAUUAGCCUUAUAAAAUGAUGAACUUGAAUUAGCAGCCAUAUCAGGAGAUUGAUUCAGAGGACUGACAGUGGUUGAUAGUAGGCCUCUAUGCAAAAAUUUAGAUCCUUCUUUAAAAAUCAUCUGAUUCCUUUUAAUUAUUUGUGAAAUGGAUACAAAUGUUUGUGAAAUGGAAAAAAUUGUUGUGCAAUGCAUUCAAAUUUUUCUUUUGUUUUUGCAAGUGAUGCCAAACUUUUGAGCGGUAGUGUAACUCAUGGCAAAACAGGAAGGUGGAGUCCGUGUGGUGUCUUGCUGCAACAUCGUGUCUUAUUACGUCAAUAAUUAUAAUAAUCUUCAGUGAAGGUAAACGUUAUUUCUAUUUGUUUACAUGCAUUUGGAGUUGUUUUGUUGGUUUCUUUUGCAUAGAAAUCGCACACAUCUGAUUAUAAAAUUGCAGAAGUAAAGAAAGUCUAUCCUCAUUUGACUUUUGGAACCUUAGAGAAAGCCGUUUUAUCAGUCCUGAUAUAUACGUAUGUACUGUAUACACAUACACACGUACAGUAUAUAGCCUUUAGAACCUGCUUCCUUUUGAACAAUUCACAUCUGAUGUCUUAGAGGGGACAAUGGGAGGUCUUGCCAAUCACGCAAAAUUCCAUUUCCUAUUCAAUGGAUCUCAGCGCAGAUAGCCGAAGGGAGAGGAGCAUUAUGUUGACGGGAAAAAAGGAGACAGCGGACAAGCAAUUAAUGAUAUCUGAGCUGAGGUUUCAUAUCGCCAGCAAUCAAAAAUAGAUUUAAAUGAUCGUACGGUCGAAUGUCAGGCGUGCUUGCUCCUUUCAAGCCAUUCCCCUCUUAAUACAGGGGGCUAAAUUGCUUCGGCCAUAUUUGUGAUAAUCACAGCAUUGAGAGACAGCGCAAUGAAUGGUUCCUUUUUAAAAGUUCCAGCACUAGUCCUGGAAAUAGACUUUUAAUAUGAAUGUAUUUCAGCAACCGCAAGUGUAAUGGAUUUCGCUGGAUGAUUGAUUUAGUUUCACUCUUUAAUGUCCACCUGCAUGUUUUUACAGGUAGUGCUUUAAUAACGGUGUCUGGAAAUGUAAUGCAUCAACUGCAUGAGCAGUGUAAUUAUGCUCAUAAACACUCGUGUUGUUUUUUAUUGGGACCUACGAUA